This 497-nucleotide ribosomal RNA is filed under the name uncultured bacterium. Its description in RNAcentral is "partial 16S ribosomal RNA". It matches the Rfam family "Bacterial small subunit ribosomal RNA", at positions 29 to 507 of the family's 1533-position model. The record is from RNAcentral.
AGUGAACGCUGGCGGCAGGCCUAACACAUGCAAGUCGAACGGCAGCACAGUAAGCGCUUGCUCUUACGGUUGGCGACUGGCGGACGGGUGAGGCAUGCAUCAGCAUCUUCUUUUUCGUGGGGGACAACGUAGGGCAACUUACGCUAAUACCGCAUAUGUCCUACGGCAGAAAGCAGGAGUGCUUGACGCUUUGCCCGUUUCUUAUAGCCGAUUCCGUGUUGGAUUAGCUAGUUGGUAAGGUAACGGCACACCAAGGCAACGAUGCGUAGCUGACCUGAGAGGAUGAUCGGCCACACUGGAACUGAGACACGGUCCAGACUCCUACGGGAGGCAGCAGUAGGGAAUAUUGGGCAAUGGGCGAAAGCCUGACCGAGCCAUACCGCGUGAGUGAAGAAGGCCUUCGGGUUGUAAAGCCCUUUUGUUGGGAAAGAAAAGCUGCGGGUUAAUACCCGGCUGUUCUGACGGUACCCAAAGAAUAAGCACCGGCUAACUUCGUG